CAGAUUGACCGUACCGCAAACCGACACAGGUGGGCAGGAUGAAAAUUCUAAGGCGCUUGAGAGAACUCAGGAGAAGGAACUCGGCAAAUUGAUACCGUAACUUCGGGAGAAGGUAUGCCUGUAGCGUGAAGCCCCUGCGGGUGGAGCGUGAUGAGGUCGCAGAGAAUCGGUGGCUGCAACUGUUUAAUAAAAACACAGCACUCUGCGAAGGCAAAAGCCGACGUAUAGGGUGUGACGCCUGCCCGGUGCCGGAAGGUUAAGUGAUGGGGUGCAAGCUCUUGAUCGAAGCCCCGGUAAACGGCGGCCGUAACGAUAACGGUCCUAAGGUAGCGAAAUUCCUUGUCGGGUAAGUUCCGACCUGCACGAAUGGCGUAAUGAUGGCCACACUGUCUCCUCCUGAGACUCAGCGAAGUUGAAAUGUUUGUGAAGAUGCAAUCUCCCCGCGGCUAGACGGAAAGACCCCAUGAACCUUUACUGUAGCUUUGCAUUGGACUUUGACGGGACUUGUGUAGGAUAGGUGGGAGGCUGUGAGGCGUGGUCGCCAGAUCGCGCGGAGCCAACCUUGAAAUACCACCCUGGUGUCGUUGAGGUUCUAACCUUGGUCCGUGAAUCCGGAUCGGGGACCGUGCAUGGCAGGCAGUUUGACUGGGGCGGUCUCCUCCCAAAGAGUAACGGAGGAGUACGAAGGUCUUCUAAGCACGGUCGGACAUCGUGCUCAUAGUGCAAUGGCAAAAGAAGGCUUGACUGCGAGACCCACAAGUCGAGCAGGUGCGAAAGCAGGUCAUAGUGAUCCGGUGGUUCUGUAUGGAAGGGCCAUCGCUCAACGGAUAAAAGGUACUCUGGGGAUAACAGGCUGAUUCCGCCCAAGAGUUCAUAUCGACGGCGGAGUUUGGCACCUCGAUGUCGGCUCAUCACAUCCUGGGGCUGUAGCCGGUCCCAAGGGUAUGGCUGUUCGCCAUUUAAAGUGGUACGUGAGCUGGGUUUAAAACGUCGUGAGACAGUUUGGUCCCUAUCUGCCGUGGGCGCUGGAUAUUUGAGGGGACCUGCUCCUAGUACGAGAGGACCGGAGUGGACGGAUCUCUGGUGUACCGGUUGUCACGCCAGUGGCAUCGCCGGGUAGCUAAAUCCGGAAGAGAUAAACGCUGAAAGCAUCUAAGCGUGAAACUCGCCUCAAGAUGAGAUAUCCCGGGGGUUCAACCCCCCUGAAGGGUCGUCCAAGACCAGGACGUUGAUAGGUCGGGUGUGGAAGCGCAGCAAUGCGUUAAGCUAACCGAUACUAAUUGCCCGUGCGGCUUGACCG
This 1300-nucleotide ribosomal RNA is filed under the name metagenome. RNAcentral's name for it is "bacterial LSU rRNA". It matches the Rfam family "Bacterial large subunit ribosomal RNA", at positions 1634 to 2925 of the family's 2925-position model. The record is from RNAcentral.